AUCAGGAAGCUUUUGGGCGAGAACGGCGGCGACGCGGUUCACGCGCGUCGCGACGCGUCAGUUCUCGUCAUCGUCGUUCUCCUCCUUUUCUUCCUUCGUCUUUUCUUCAUCUUCUUGUUCGCGCUCUCUUGGAAAUCCCCACGGAACGGUCGACAUCUCCUAAUCUAGACAUUAACGCGGGCCAUUGCCAAUCGUCCGUUGCAGUUAUCUGCUCUUCGUGACUCUCGUUGAAUGAUAAUCUAUUUUGUGAUUAGAUAUCAAGAAAGAUCUUUAAUUGGAUGAUCGAAUGUGCGAUUUGCAGCUUCGGCUUCUCGUGGUCGUUCUCCGAAUUGCCGAGAUGCUUUUGGCAUACGCCGGAAAUCCCCGAUGCUUCGCGGCACUCCUGAAAAUACUCGCUCAUGGCCAAAUCAGGCUAUUAACGCGAGACGAUGUACUCCUCCGGUGUACGAAGUACUAUUUGAUAUUUGAAGAAUCUAUAUUACAUUGAAAAAUAGAAGAGAGGAAUAGCCCUAAACUAAGGAAGAUUUUAUUUCCAUCAAGAAAAACCCUUGUCGCAUUCUUUUUCGUCUGAUUUAGUGAAGCGUUUGAACAUUGCGACUUCGCACCACCUACAUAUGACUGUGACUGUGCCCUAAGGUAUUUAGACAAAUUGCCAAUUGGCAUUUAAUUCAUUCGUACACAUAAUGAAGUGUUAUAUGCGCGUUGUACGUAAUAAUUCAUUCCUCUUUCGGCGAAAAAAAAAGUACAUAAAA
This is a long non-coding RNA of Formica exsecta, 752 nucleotides long. RefSeq lists it as uncharacterized. The transcript is spliced from 2 exons. Lineage: Eukaryota; Metazoa; Arthropoda; Insecta; Hymenoptera; Formicidae. The record is from RefSeq and is a predicted model, not a curated record.